Cajanus cajan (pigeon pea) is the source of this 588-nucleotide long non-coding RNA. RefSeq lists it as uncharacterized. Lineage: Eukaryota; Viridiplantae; Streptophyta; Magnoliopsida; Fabales; Fabaceae. The record is from RefSeq and is a predicted model, not a curated record.
UGUGUAUAUAUAUCCUACUUUCCAUUCAAUUCCCAUAUACUUUUUUCUCCAUUUAAGAUGGGUUACUUUAAGAAUCUUGUCUUAAACAUAGUCUUGUUAUUUGUGUUUCUCUUAUCGAUGAAUCUCGCAACAGCAAGGCAACUAUCAGAGCCUCACAAAGCACCGGGACGCCUCCUUCUUUCUGCUUGUGAUCCAAGUCCAACAAAGCACACUUAUGCUAAUCCUAUAAUUCGUCCACGAGGACUGUGAGGAACCAAUUAAUUAUGGUGGCUAAAGCAAGUUGAUCAAUACCAUAAAAUAAUGAAACCAUACUGAAGCACAACCCUAGGGUUUCAAGGAAAAAACUUGCUGUGGAGAAGCAGAUAUUGAUGCAUAUGUAUUACUAUGUUAUAUUUGUGUGUUUUGGAAUUACCACAUCCUUUGUAUGUUAUUAAUUAUAUUAAUAAAUAUAACUGUACCGUGUUAAUUUGACAAAAUUUUCUUUUGGUGUUGGUCCACCAUAGCCAUUUUCGUUAGGUACCAUCAUUAAUUAGCUUCAACUUGUUACACCCAUCCAAUGGAAUGUAUCCACCCACAUUCUUGUUGUUA